AAAACAUCGCCUUCCGCAACUAAUAGAAGGUCCAGCCUGCCCAGUGACAAACUUAAACGGCCGCGGUAUUUUAACCGUGCAAAGGUAGCAUAAUCACUUGUUCUUUAAAUAAGGACUAGUAUGAACGGCACCACGAGGGUUCUACUGUCUCCCCCCCUUAAUCAGUGAAAUUAAUCCCCCCGUGAAGAAGCGGGGAUAAGCUUAUAAGACGAGAAGACCCCAUGGAGCUUUAAACUGAGUAUCACUUGCAUUCCACACAUCAAUAAGAUCCAGCAAACAUGCCUACCAGUUUUUGGUUGGGGCGACCACGGAGUAAAACAAAACCUCCAUGACGAAAGGAGCUAAUCUCCUAAUCAAAGAGCCACAACUCAUAGAAUCAACAUAUUGACCUAAUUGACCCACACCCUGAGCAACGAACCAAGUUACCCUGGGGAUAACAGCGCAAUCCAUUUCAAGAGCUCCUAUCGACAAAUGGGUUUACGACCUCGAUGUUGGAUCAGGGUAUCCCAGUGGUGCAGCCGCUACUAAAGGUUCGUUUGUUCAACGAUUAAAACCCUACGUGAUCUGAG
Molecule: ribosomal RNA, 569 nt
Filed under: Cophixalus sp. CCA 476L
Lineage: Eukaryota; Metazoa; Chordata; Amphibia; Anura; Microhylidae
Description: partial 16S ribosomal RNA
Rfam family: Bacterial large subunit ribosomal RNA
Source: RNAcentral